RNAcentral lists this ribosomal RNA (715 nucleotides) under Brachybacterium sp. Its description in RNAcentral is "bacterial SSU rRNA". It matches the Rfam family "Bacterial small subunit ribosomal RNA", at positions 332 to 1060 of the family's 1533-position model. The record is from RNAcentral. Lineage: Bacteria; Bacillati; Actinomycetota; Actinomycetes; Micrococcales; Dermabacteraceae.
CAGACUCCUACGGGAGGCAGCAGUGGGGAAUAUUGCACAAUGGGCGAAAGCCUGAUGCAGCGACGCCGCGUGAGGGAUGACGGCCUUCGGGUUGUAAACCUCUUUCAGUAGGGAAGAAGCGAGAGUGACGGUACCUGCAGAAGAAGCGCCGGCUAACUACGUGCCAGCAGCCGCGGUAAUACGUAGGGCGCAAGCGUUGUCCGGAAUUAUUGGGCGUAAAGAGCUUGUAGGUGGCUUGUCGCGUCUGCCGUGAAAACCCGAGGCUCAACCUCGGGCGUGCGGUGGGUACGGGCAGGCUAGAGUGUGGUAGGGGAGACUGGAACUCCUGGUGUAGCGGUGAAAUGCGCAGAUAUCAGGAAGAACACCGAUGGCGAAGGCAGGUCUCUGGGCCAUUACUGACACUGAGAAGCGAAAGCAUGGGUAGCGAACAGGAUUAGAUACCCUGGUAGUCCAUGCCGUAAACGUUGGGCACUAGGUGUGGGGGACAUUCCACGUUUUCCGCGCCGUAGCUAACGCAUUAAGUGCCCCGCCUGGGGAGUACGGCCGCAAGGCUAAAACUCAAAGGAAUUGACGGGGGCCCGCACAAGCGGCGGAGCAUGCUGAUUAAUUCGAUGCAACGCGAAGAACCUUACCAAGGCUUGACAUGGACCGGACGGCUGCAGAAAUGUGGCUUUCUUCGGACUGGUUCACAGGUGGUGCAUGGUUGUCGUCAGCU